This is a small nuclear RNA of Hippopotamus amphibius kiboko, 148 nucleotides long. RefSeq annotates it as U4 spliceosomal RNA. The transcript has a single exon. The record is from RefSeq and is a predicted model, not a curated record. NCBI's taxonomy places the organism in Eukaryota, Metazoa, Chordata, Mammalia, Artiodactyla, Hippopotamidae.
AGCUUUGCGCAGUGGCAGUAUCGUAGCCAAUGAGGUUUAUCCGAGGUGCGAUUAUUGCUAAUUGAAAACUUUUCCCAAAACCUUGGUUUCUGUAAUGAAGGUCAAGCCUCCACGGGAACAACAAAACUCCACCCACUCCUGCUUGUGG